This 66-nucleotide transfer RNA is filed under the name marine eukaryotic metagenome. It matches the Rfam family "tRNA". Rfam says of the family: Transfer RNA (tRNA) molecules are approximately 80 nucleotides in length. The record is from RNAcentral.
CAGAUAGCUCAGUUGGUAGAGCAAAGGACUGAAAAUCCUUGUGUCGGUGGUUCGAUCCCACCUCUG